RNAcentral lists this ribosomal RNA (422 nucleotides) under uncultured prokaryote. Its description in RNAcentral is "bacterial SSU rRNA". It matches the Rfam family "Bacterial small subunit ribosomal RNA", at positions 355 to 774 of the family's 1533-position model. The record is from RNAcentral.
UGGGGAAUAUUGCACAAUGGGCGAAAGCCUGAUGCAGCAACGCCGCGUGCAGGAAGACGGCCCUAUGGGUUGUAAACUGCUUUUCCAGGGGGAGAAUUUUUCCGUCGUGACAGGAAUUGACGGUACCCUGGGAAUAAGCAUCGGCUAACUCCGUGCCAGCAGCCGCGGUAAUACGGAGGAUGCGAGCGUUAUCCGGAUUUAUUGGGUUUAAAGGGUGCGUAGGCGGAUAGAUAAGUCAGUGGUGAAAACCUGCAGCCUAACUGUAGACUUGCCGUUGAUACUGUCAGUCUUAAGUAUGGUCAAGGUAGGCGGAAUGUGUAAUGUAGCGGUGAAAUGCUUAGAUAUUACACAGAACACCGAUUGCGAAGGCAGCUUGCUGGGCCAUUACUGACGCUGAUGCACGAAAGCGUGGGGAUCGAACA